CCUACGGGUGGCAGCAGUGGGGAAUAUUGCACAAUGGGGGAAACCCUGAUGCAGCAACGCCGCGUGGAGGAAGAAGGUUUUCGGAUUGUAAACUCCUGUUCUUAGAGAAGAAAAUGACGGUAUCUAAAGAAUAAGCACCGGCUAACUCCGUGCCAGCAGCCGCGGUAAUACGGAGGGUGCAAGCGUUACUCGGAAUGACUGGGCGUAAAGGGAGCGGAGGCGGGAUAGCAAGUCAGAUGUGAAAUCCUAUGGCUUAACCAUAGGACUGCAUUUGAAACUGUUUUUCUGGAGUGAAGGAGGGGUAGGCGGAAUUCCUGGUGUAGGGGUGAAAUGCGUAGAUAUCAGGAGGAAUACCGGUGGCGAAGGCGGCCUGCUGGAAUUUAACUGACGCUGAGGCGCGAAAGCGUGGGGAGCAAACAGGAUUAGAUACCCUAGUAGUC
Molecule: ribosomal RNA, 440 nt
Filed under: uncultured bacterium
Lineage: Bacteria
Description: partial 16S ribosomal RNA
Rfam family: Bacterial small subunit ribosomal RNA
Source: RNAcentral